GGCUAACGCUGGCGGCGUGUCUUAGCCAUGCAAGUCGAGCGGACUUAUGGGGUAACUUAUAAGUCAGCGGCGGACGGCGGAGUAACACGUAGCUAACCUACCCUCUGGACGGGGAUAACCUACCGAAAGGUGGGCUAAUACCCGAUGUAGUCAUCCUGUAUAGGGGUGAUGAAAGGUGGGCUUCUGUUUACAAGCUCAUGCUGGAGGAGGGGGCUGCGGCCUAUCAGGUAGUUGGUAGGGUAAUAGCCUACCAAGCCGAUGACGGGUAGCCGGCCUGAGAGGGUGACCGGCCCGAGGGGCACUGAGAUACGGGUCCCACUCCUACGGGAGGCAGCAGGCUAGAAAUUUGGGCAAUGGGGGAAACCCUGACCCAGUGACGCCGCGCAGGAAGGAGCCCUUCGGGGUGUAAACUGCUGUCGUGUAGGGAGAAGGGUACUAAGGUGAACAAUCUUAGUACUUGACGGUACUACAGGAGGAAGCCCAGGCUAACCUCGUG
Molecule: ribosomal RNA, 496 nt
Filed under: uncultured bacterium
Lineage: Bacteria
Description: bacterial SSU rRNA
Rfam family: Bacterial small subunit ribosomal RNA
Source: RNAcentral